Long non-coding RNA from Bombina bombina (fire-bellied toad), 424 nucleotides. RefSeq lists it as uncharacterized. The transcript is spliced from 3 exons. Lineage: Eukaryota; Metazoa; Chordata; Amphibia; Anura; Bombinatoridae. The record is from RefSeq and is a predicted model, not a curated record.
CUAUAUGCUCACUGACUUCCGGCUUGGAGGAUAGAGCGUUCUCCUCUGGUAUCAGAGUGACAGAUAGUUAUUCCACAGACAGGGAACGAUCUCCAAAGGUGAAAAUAGAUGUGAAUUGGAUCCAUCCCUAAGCAGAAAGACACCAAGAAGACAUAAGUACCUGAAAAGAUCUGGGUUACUGAUACCACUUGACAUUUCCUUAAACAUGACAACCCUCACAAGCACUUAUAUGUCACGCAUAACUAUUCAUGAUAUUGAAACUGACAAAGCCUAAUUAUGUUUUCCAUGAUCACUAUCAGCAUCUAUUCCUUCAAGGCAAAUUGGACACAUACUGUACGUGCUUAUGCAAUUGCUUACCUUUUUCCUCUCAUGCAGAUAUAGCUAUUCAAAAUGUAACCAACCUGAUGACAAUACUCUGUCACCA